CACCAAGGAGAAUGGUCCAGCAGCAGCUGGGUCCAUUCUUAUCAAACGCCCAGCUCCAUACGCUCCAGCCCGUUCCACAUUUCCUAUAGCUCCUUGUGAGAUUCCUCAGCAGCACCAAUGCACUGGCUGACACUCUGUGUUGUCUUAGGUCCUGUGGAGGUCCUACAGGACCUCAUAUUAGAAGACAUCGAAGACAAUGAGCUACCCCGUGACGUGGAGAAGCCUGCGGCCCAGUAUCACCACCGUCCUGUGGAGGUUCUACAGGACCUCAUAUUAGAAGACAUCGAAGACAAUGAGCUACCCCGUGACGUGGUAAGAUGCAUUGUUUGGCUCGAAAAGAAAUUUUCAUUUUCCAGGGUCUCAGGAAUAUCUAGUGAAUAUCAUUUUCGACCUCCCUUGUGAAUAAGACGUCAGUUGUCAUGGACUCUAGCGACCAGUCAGUGGAGAUUCUGACCAACUGAGGCCUGAUUGACGAUGUCCGUCAAAAGAUGGCAUAACUUAGAAUCUGGUUUUGGGCAUAUUUCUCAGUAGCCACAUUUUCUUCUUGAAAAAUAAUUUUGUAUUUUUCAGCCAGUAUAGAUAGUUGCUAGGUAUUCCAAACCCACAGCAUUUUCUGCAAGGAUCCCCUGUGCUUUAUUCGGGGCCUGUGACUUCAUCACUGUUUCACAUCUGGGUUUUUGUUUAGUUUACUUUUGUUGUUGAGACAGAGUCUCUCUUUCACC
Molecule: long non-coding RNA, 722 nt
Organism: Callithrix jacchus (white-tufted-ear marmoset)
Lineage: Eukaryota; Metazoa; Chordata; Mammalia; Primates; Cebidae
Source: Ensembl